Molecule: long non-coding RNA, 2384 nt
Organism: Macaca fascicularis (crab-eating macaque)
Lineage: Eukaryota; Metazoa; Chordata; Mammalia; Primates; Cercopithecidae
Source: Ensembl
CCAAGGGUAAUCUUAAGAUUCAGAAGAGUGAUUUGUUUUUCCCCAUGUAGUGAGCAAUUUUCUCACGCCCAACUAAUAAACCAUCUAUUCUUUUCCCAUUAAGCAAUUUAUAUCACAUAAAAAAUUUCCUUUAGAAGUGAGCCUGUCUCUGGCAGAUUCACCAUUUAUAAUAAGAGAGUCUGAACUUUUCCACACUUCCCAUGAAAGCUAAAGGUCAUUCGAAUAGAAGGAAAAGAAAGAGCUGUGAAACAUAUCCAUACUCUGCCAAUGACCUGAGGUGGGGUAGGCAGUACAGCAACUGCAAGACUCAUCAAUUGAACGUAUGUAGGUUUUUAGUAUCUAGUAGAUUACACAAAACACAUACAGGACUUGGUAAAUUUGAAAGGAGAAGGUUGGAGAAUAUGGCAAAGUAGGAUCAUCUUCAUACUAGUCAGUUAGGAAAAACAAGCUGGGAAAAAAUGAGAACAGAGUAGAUGAAUUACAUAGGAAUUUCUGAAAUAUUCUCAGAAUGCCAUGGAUUAAAUAGGAUUUUAUGAACUUGCCUGGGAAGCUAAUGAUCGUUUCUAUGAGAAAAUGUGUUUCACUUUUCAACUCAGGAUAUCUGGAACAUAUAUCUCUCUUUCUCACAGUUCCAGCAGGAUUCCCAGGAAUUUAGCUUUCCCUUUAAUCUCAGAAGAAGGAGCCCUCUUUGAGGCUCCAUAGAGAGAAAUAGGAACAAACUUACCCAAAACAGAUGGGGGGUGGGAGUGCUGAUUUUUAUCCCCAUGGAGAAAGGGAAUUUUACAGCAAUGAGCGCAGGGUCUCUGGUGAAAGGUCAUAUCCAUACAUAUCUUUAUGGAAAAAACAAAGCUUGGAAAUGGAACAGAGCCCAGAGCCCAGGGCUUGGUGGGAAAGCAGGCCCCGGCUCCCCGUCCUGCAUGUCAGUCUUGACUUCUUCCUGUGCUGGUCAGGGCUGCAAAUGGCUGAUAAUAUCACUGAAGCCUGGACUAUCUUCAAAGCCUGACUGGCACAAAAUGACAUAUUAAUGUAGUAUCUCAUUUCCUUUGCGUUCUGGGGACAAGUGGGAUUGGCUUGAUGCCCAGGGAUACCCUGUGAACUCGUGGAAUAGGACUGGGCUAAGCCUGGCUAGCACCUGAAGGAUCCUGUCUAUGGAACUAGGGACAUUGUUUCUCACUGAUUGAAUUGGUUGGAACAUAAAACUAAAAUGGCAUUUGAUCUGUCUUGCAAGAUUUGGUUCAGAAAAACCUUACAAAUAUGCUGAUAGUAACUAAAAUUUUCUCUGCGUCUGUUGCUUAGAUGCAAUAAUUAUGUGUUGAAAAUUGUAUAUAUAUCAUAUUUAUGUAUUUUAGCACAUAGAAAUGGAAGUAUUUAGUGUUAUGGAAAAACAGAUGGAUAGAUGGAUAAUCUCUCUCUCUUUCUCCUCUAUUUUUCUUUCCCCAUUUUCUCCUUUUAGAAGUUAAUUUAAUAGGUAGAUUAAAGACAUCUUUAAAUGACUGGAAAACCAAAGUUCACGUUUAGACAAAUUUCCCAGUUGGAAUUCUCUGUUUAAAGCGCUCUGUUUUCAUGACCUGCACUGUUUAUUUUACAUUCAGAGAUGUGGGCACAUGGGAACCAUUUGUAGAAAUGUCUCUGUUUACUUCUAAAACUGAUACAAUACAGAAGCAGUGAGUAGAGGUUCAACAAACUGACUUUCUUGUACAACAGCCAGUUGUACAAUCUUUCUUUUUAUUACUACUGACAUACAUUUAUGAGAAGAAAAUGGAAGUUAUGGAGUGUAACAAAGAGAUAAAUUCAUGCUCUCUCUGAAAGUCUAUGUAAUACCCAGCAUUUACAGAAAUAAGGAAGUUCAUAGUGAUCAUUUGUGGUUGAAUUUUAGUAAGAAAUGCUCAAAGCCAUUUUACCUCUUUGGACUGAAAAAUAAUGAUUAUAAAAUAAAAUGGGCAGUCCCAGUUGGACUGUCUGCACAUCUACUACCAAUGGUAGAUUGUAAGAGCCUUCCAACUCGUCUGUCUACACUCAGUUGCUCCCCCCACAAUCAAUCCAUCGUACAGCCUGCUGCCAGAGUGAUCUUUAACACUGACCAUAGCUUUCCCUGUAUUAAAAUGUUGUAAUGUUUGUUCCCUAUUGGUUUUGGGAGAGGUGAAAACUUGAGGUCUGUUGGUUAAAACUAGCUGAAGCUAGUUUACUUAAAAAAUGUGUAUAUGUAUGUGUAGUUUACUUAAAAAACAUGUGUGUGAACGUGUGUGUGUGUGUGUGUGUGUGUGUAUAAUACACACAGACACUUUUUCCUCCACACACUGUGAGCCUGGAAAAACAUGUAAUAGUAGUUGCCAAGUGGGGAAUUUGACAGAAAAUCUAGAUAGCCUGCUCUUAUAAAAAACAAA